AUAGUUUAAAAUUGUGCAGAACACAUCAGUAGUUUUCAAGGAUGGCCUCUGAGAUAAAUUAUUGCGUUGUGUCAUCCUAAUACGUCAAAAUGAGCAGAUUUGAUAAUGUGAUCUUAAGCCUCACUAUUAGACCUACUAUUUACUUUGAGUAGUGAACUGUUUAAUUGACGAUUAAGAUAUAUUAGGGUUAAAUCCGACUCAAAGAACCAUUACAACAACCAAGUUUAC
Molecule: long non-coding RNA, 228 nt
Filed under: Lathyrus oleraceus (garden pea)
Lineage: Eukaryota; Viridiplantae; Streptophyta; Magnoliopsida; Fabales; Fabaceae
Description: Pisum sativum (pea) long non-coding RNA (PSAT_LNC017002)
Source: RNAcentral